GGGAGACCUAGCUACUCUCCUUGCUUGCUUGCUACUCAUUAAUGCAAUGUGAGGACCACCUGCCCUAUCUUAACACUUAAUGUCCAUAUUUCCCAGAUCUUAUGCAAGAAUGUGUUAAUGCCAUGUCCAUAAUUCAAGAUUUGCCAGCCCACGGAAGCACUAACCAACUAUCCCACAGCACCUGGUUUUUAACAUUUACUCUCCUCCCUCGUUCUCUCUCUGUGUGCUAGUUGCUGCCAUUGGUGACCUUUCCUUUUGUUGCAGCUCUUCCAGCCAGCACAGCCUUUAUUAUCAGAUGGGAAAUAGCAUGCAUUCUAUCAUCAAGUGACAGUGUUAUGCUAGAGAAAGAGAGGUGGUUUUCUGGUAUGACAAAGGUUUCACACUGAGGUGUCAAGAGGCUAUUACUUUUUGGGUUCUUGGAGCAAUGGAGGGCUUUGCAACUGGUUUUUUUGUUAGAGUGAUGAAGAAAGCUGUCUUUGCUACUUUCACUUGCAUCCUUGCAUUAGGAGGAGCUGCAGUGGGCACAGUGAUAGGAGCCAUGAAAGGGCAGACAACAGAAACUGGGUUUCUUCGUGGGUCUGGAAUAGGUGCUGUGGCAGGUGCUAUCACUGCCGUUCAAUUGCUUGAAUCCGUUGCUGAUGGGGAGCCAUUGUCCAAGCUUGCUCUAUUUUGCAGCUUGAUGAAUGGGAAGGUCUUCAUGGAAUGGGUAAGUCCAGCAGUGCUAAAAGCUUAUCAAUGGCAAAUCAGUGGGCUGGAAACCACUUACAGAGAAGUUUCAGACAUCUAUGACACCAGUGGAAAUAGAGGGUUGUCCAAGAAUUGCAUUCAAAAGCUUCCUCAACUCACAUUCCAAUCCACUCACAACUUUGAUCAAAUCCACCAAUUCUGUUGUUCCAUUUGCUUGCAGGAUUUCAAUGGAGGAGACUCGAUGAGGAAGCUUCCCCAUUGUGGGCAUUUGUUUCAUAUGGACUGCCUAGAUAAAUGGCUGUCUAGAAAUGGGUCUUGCCCAAUGUGUAGAAAUUAUGUUUGCGAUGACACUCAUAUAUUCCAGAUGUAGAACAUUGGUUUUGAGUUUUGACUCACAAAUGAAUUAUGAGGAGAAAAUUUAUAAAAUAUACUUACAAUAUGUAUUGUAAAUUAUAAAAUUGCUCACAUCCUGUCGUUAAUUAAAUCGUUUAUCA
This 1181-nucleotide unclassified non-coding RNA is filed under the name Hevea brasiliensis (rubber tree). Lineage: Eukaryota; Viridiplantae; Streptophyta; Magnoliopsida; Malpighiales; Euphorbiaceae. The record is from RNAcentral.